RNAcentral lists this ribosomal RNA (253 nucleotides) under uncultured bacterium. RNAcentral describes it as "partial 16S ribosomal RNA". It matches the Rfam family "Bacterial small subunit ribosomal RNA", at positions 524 to 776 of the family's 1533-position model. The record is from RNAcentral.
UACAGAGGGGGCAAGCGUUGUUCGGAAUUACUGGGCGUAAAGGGCGCGUAGGCGGCCAACUAAGUCGGACGUGAAAUCCCCAGGCUCAACCUGGGAACUGCGUCCGAUACUGGAUGGCUCGAAUCCGGGAGAGGGAUGUGGAAUUCCAGGUGUAGCGGUGAAAUGCGUAGAUAUCUGGAGGAACACCGGUGGCGAAGGCGGCAUCCUGGACCGGUAUUGACGCUGAGGCGCGAAAGCCAGGGGAGCAAACGGG